This 161-nucleotide small RNA is filed under the name human gut metagenome. Its description in RNAcentral is "Clostridiales-1 RNA". It matches the Rfam family "Clostridiales-1 RNA". The record is from RNAcentral.
CAGGGACAAAAAGUCAUAAAUCCGAUGUAAGCUUGCUUACAAGAGGAUUUUUGACUUCUUGUCCCGCCAAAACAUGAGGAUGGCAGCGAUUUUCAAAGAAAAUCAGCGAAUCCGAAUGUUUUGUAGAAUUGCGAGAGUUGCAAAGCAACGGAGCAAUUCGU